GGACUACUGGGGUAUCUAAUCCGGUUUGCUCCCCUAGCCUUCGCUCCUGAUCGUCGAACCCGUUCUCGUCAGACGCCUUCGCCACAGGUAGUCCUCCUUAGAUUAUCACAUUUUACCGCUCCCUAAGGAAUACUUCUGACGCCUCCCGGUCCCAAGCUCUGCAGUGUUUCCUGCACGCCGUGCCGUUAAGCGACACGAUUUCACAAGAAAUUUACAAAGCCGACUACGAGCGCUUUAGACCUAAUAAGUGAUUCCCACUAAGGACGCCGGUGUUACCGCGGCUGCUGGCACCGGUCUUGCCCAUCCUUUAUUCCCACAGGUAUUUACCCUGUAGAAAAGCCCAUGGUUUCCAUGAGCACGCUGAGUUCCCCUAUCACACUUUCGUGCAUUGUAAAGUUUUCGCGCCUGCUGCCCCCCGUAGG
This 422-nucleotide ribosomal RNA is filed under the name uncultured euryarchaeote. RNAcentral describes it as "partial 16S ribosomal RNA". The record is from RNAcentral. Lineage: Archaea; Methanobacteriati; Methanobacteriota.